AGUCCCCCCUCUCUCCCUCUCUCUCUCUCUCUCUCUCUCUCUCUCAUCUGAUCGUUUGCGCUUCGCGGACGCGCAGUCUUUCAAGUAAAACUAGCUAGCAGCAGCAGCAGCUUCUUCACAACCUUCUCAGGGUUGGGGAUUAAUUAUCUUGAUUCAAUCUUUUCUCUUUCUUUUUAAUCGUCGGAACAAGUGGUGAUAUUUAGUUUUCCUCCAUACACACUCCCAUGGAGAUUCCCGGGAAGAGGGUCUUGCUCACCUCCAAUGGCGAUGACAUUUCUCUCAACCUCGCCCGCCAUUUAGCCCGUCGCGGUUGCCGGCUGGUUUUGAUGGGGAAUGAGACCCAACUGAAGCUCGCAGCCCACAAGAUUAAAUGUUCGCUCCCCGACGUCGUCACGCCGGAGGUGGUCGGACUGGAUAUGGAAGACGAUAGUGAAGCCGUUUUCGAUGUCGCGGUGGCCAAAGCCUCCACUAUUCUCGGUUUCUUCGAUGCUUUAGUCCAUUGUUAUUCUUAUGAAGGUGAGAUGCAAAAUCCUCUGGAUAUAGCCGAAGGGGAAUUUAAAAAGACAGUAAAAGUCAAUUUCCUAGCUGGCUGGUACUUGUUGAAAGCUGUUGGCAAGCGAAUGCGGGAUCACAAAUCUGGAGGUUCUAUUAUAUUCUUGACUUCAAUUGUGGGGGCUGAAAGAGGUCUAUAUCAAGGAGCUGCUGCAUAUGGUGCCUGUUUAGCUGGCGUACAGCAGCUAGUGAGGACAUCUGCAAUGGAGAUUGGGAAGUACCAAAUCAGGGUAAAUGCUAUUGCUCGUGGUUUGCACCUUCAAGAUGAGUUUCCGGUGUCAGUGGGAAAGGAGAGGGCAGAGAAGUUGGUCAAAGAAGCAGCACCGCUGCACAGAUGGCUGGAUGUAGAAAAUGAUUUAGCUUCCUCUGUCAUAUAUUUGAUUAGCAACGGCUCACGCUAUAUGACCGGGACUACCAUAUUUGUCGAUGGUGCACAGUCCCUGGUGAGGCCUCGAAUGCGAUCUUACAUGUGAUGUGAAUAGGUGAAGAAAACCCAAUGUCUGGUAUUGGUUUUGUGGUCAUGAUGUUGUGAUUGCCUACUACUUAAGAAACUCUUUUUUUAUUUGGGGCUAAAUUCCUAAUAUUCAGAAACUUGGAAACUUUAUAGUGCAAAGCAGGAGGCGUAGCAUCAUCUUCUCAUCGUUUCCGGACAUUCCUCACAAACACGAUGAAAUGAUCAAGGCAAUGGAAAUUGUGACAGUCGCAGGCUUGUAGCAAAUGCUCAUGAUUCUUAUAGGCAAGUAGCAAGCAUAAUACGACAACUUCCCCAA
Molecule: RNA transcript, 1322 nt
Organism: Coffea eugenioides
Lineage: Eukaryota; Viridiplantae; Streptophyta; Magnoliopsida; Gentianales; Rubiaceae
Gene name: levodione reductase
Exons: 5
Source: RefSeq, a predicted model, not a curated record